RNAcentral lists this ribosomal RNA (418 nucleotides) under uncultured bacterium. RNAcentral describes it as "partial 16S ribosomal RNA". It matches the Rfam family "Bacterial small subunit ribosomal RNA", at positions 363 to 773 of the family's 1533-position model. The record is from RNAcentral.
AUUGGACAAUGGGGGCAACCCUGAUCCAGCCAUGCCGCGUGUGUGAAGAAGGUCUUCGGAUUGUANAGCGCUUUAAGUUGGGAGGANGGGCUUUAGGUUAAUACCCUGAAGUUUUGACGUUACAAACAGAAUAAGCACCGGCUAACUCUGUGCCAGCAGCCGCGGUAAUACAGAGGGUGCAAGCGUUAAUCGGAAUUACUGGGCGUAAAGCGCGCGUAGGUGGUUCAGUAAGAUAGGUGUAAAAUCCCCGGGCUUAACCUGGGAACUGCUUUCAUAACUGCUGAGCUAGAGUACGGUAGAGGGUGGUGAAAUAUCCUGUGUAGCGGUGAAAUGCGUAGAUAUAGGAAGGAACACCAGGGGCGAAGGCGACUACCUGGACUGAUACUGACACUGGGGUGCAAAAGCGUGGGGAGCAAAC